CUUUCGGUCAAGUCUGGGUGGAGGUGGGCGGCGACUUGGUUGUGGAGGGCUGAAGCCUGAAGGUGCUGGGGCUGACGAGCUCCUGCCACUGUAUGUGGAUUGAGCUGGAUGGGCACUGGGGUGAUUUGGGGAUCUGGCUGCUAAUGCUGCGAUAAAACGUCGUUACGAUUUUGAGUGAUCUAGGGCCGCUCAUUGUCUCUUGUGGUCGGCCCCGCAGCCACUAUUCUGAACGACCGUCACGGUUAUCCGCAACACACCCAUCUGCUGCACAUCUUUAUAUGUAUGUAACCUACGGAGAAUAGGAACAAUCACUACAGAGCCUGAAGAUUGUUUUUAUUUCUUUCAUUGUCUUUCACCGAUCUAUCAUUAUUUCAUUUGUCCAUGUAGAUUUAGAUAACAUGAGAUGAGCUGAUGAUACGUGCUACUAUUUGAAGACACGAUUAUCUACUGCAGAAUUGUUGAUGUAUUUGUGCUGACAGGUUAUGCAGUACUUGAAACACUUUAAUUAGAGGAAUUAGAGUUACAAAGUUCUGACUCGGUUCAUGGGGCAAUCUGAAAGAGAACUUGGUGAUGUCAAGUAAUUCUAAGAGCAUAGGCAUUAUCCUUUUUUUAAAUAAUGGUAAGAGCAUAGAUCCCAUCGACCAGGAAUUAAUCCAUCAGGCAAGCAGAAGACUGAACGAAACAGUACCUUCAUAUAUUAUUUCCAAGACCAUUAAUGUUGUUUUCUUUACUGUAAGGAACCAGCUUAAGGCCUUUAUGCAUUGAACGAACUACCAAGAUUUUUCUAUCUUCAUGUAUGAUCCAUCUUGCAUAGACACAUGCGUAGCAAUGGGAUACUAUUUGGUAUGAACAACAUCAUUAUCUUGCAAUUCUAACAUGUAUGCAUUUAACUUAUUUACACACAUAAUAGUGAUGCAUCUUGCGUAUCUGCUUAUUGUAUCUGAAUCUUCAAUGCAAUUAACUGCUUAAUUAGACAGCAGCAGGAUUGAGCGAUCUGGCAUAUAAGCUUUGCUCAGUGGUUCAGAUUAUCACUGUUAGUCUUCUGGUCUUGUCAAGUUUUUAGACUUCUUGAGGUCGCUCAACCAAUCUGGCGUAAAGCUAUGAAGAGAUUUUGCUUGGAAAGAUUACUGAAAGGAUACCUUCACUUCAUUUUAUCCCCUAGAUUAGUAUAAGUAUAUAUUAAGCCCCCGUUUAUUUAGAUGUAUAGCUUGCAUGGCAGUCUUGUUUAAACAGAUUUUUGGGGCAUUAAGCAAUGCAUACUCUGCUCACCAUUUUUCUCAUGUGUGUUGUUAGCCAAGCACUUGCUUUUCAAGAUAUCCUUUCCGAUGUUAGGCUGGGCUGCGUGAUUCGUCGAUGUCUGCUCAAUACAGUUGUGGUGAUCCCGGUGACGAGGACAUUAGGGACAUCGGCCCGGCGGAGUCUGGUGAGUCAGCUAUGAAGCCAAAUCCGCAGUCACCAGGGACCAGGGUGGAUCGAGAGAGUUCUUGUGGGAGCGAAUCCUACAGAGCGAACCCUAUGCCCCGUUAGUAUGGGUACUCUUGAGAAGUCCAUAAGGGCUUUCACAGAGGCAUGUAGAAGAGGUCGUCAAGCCGGAGUUGGGCACCACAUUUGCCUCGCUGACAGAGGCAUACGUCUUUUACAACCUGUAUUAGUGGGAAAAUGGGUUUAGUAUCAGGCAUGGGAAGAGCCGAUUGAAUCCCGACAAGCGGAAGACCAUGCAAGAGACUGUUUGUGGUUGCUCAGGGGAGGCUUUGCGUGAGAAUACAAGGUUGUGCCGCUGUGAGUGUCCUGCGAUGAUAAGGCUGCUACGGACAUCAGAUAAUGGGUGGUAUACAAUGGAGCACCGGGUAAAGCAUAACAUUGUUAUGAUGCCAAUGUAGAGAGAUGUUGCACUGGCCAUCGCACACGCACAUUGAUGUGUACACGAGCGGGGUGCGGGACUGAUCUAAACAAGAGAAGCAAGAUUGGACAGAGGGGGCAAUGGGGCAGUGGGAAUCAUUCGUGGUUGCGUAUUACAGUGGCGGUGGGCUGGAUGACGAUUGCAGUAGGGAUAGCGCCCCGCGGAGUCCGAAGAGUCUGCACUGAAACCAAAUUCGAGAGCACACGGUAGACUAAGAGGUAUUGGAUAACUUAGCAGAAUAUGUGUUUUGUCUGACAAUACUGAGGUUAGGGUGUGUCUUCAGUGGAAGGAAACUGAAAAAGAGAUCCUAAAAGGUUGUAGAGUUAGGAGUGGCUGUCAUUUGUGAUUUUUGUUCAAAAAAAACCAAGGAUCUAUUGUGGAGUGUGAGAAAACAAAUUAUUUUUAUUUCAUGUAAUUUAUGACCUCAAA
Triticum aestivum (bread wheat) is the source of this 2329-nucleotide long non-coding RNA. RefSeq lists it as uncharacterized. The transcript has 3 exons. The record is from RefSeq and is a predicted model, not a curated record. Lineage: Eukaryota; Viridiplantae; Streptophyta; Magnoliopsida; Poales; Poaceae.